RNAcentral lists this ribosomal RNA (253 nucleotides) under uncultured bacterium. RNAcentral describes it as "partial 16S ribosomal RNA". It matches the Rfam family "Bacterial small subunit ribosomal RNA", at positions 524 to 776 of the family's 1533-position model. The record is from RNAcentral.
UACGAAGGGGGCAAGCGUUGUUCGGAAUUACUGGGCGUAAAGGGCGCGUAGGCGGCCGAUCAAGUCAGGCGUGAAAUUCCCGGGCUCAACCUGGGGGCUGCGCUUGAUACUGAUUGGCUUGAAUGCGGGAGAGGAUAGUGGAAUUCCCAGUGUAGAGGUGAAAUGCGUAGAUAUCUGGAGGAACACCGGUGGCGAAGGCGGCAUCCUGGACCAACACUGACGCUGAGGAGCGAAAGCCAGGGGAGCAAACGGG